GCGGGUGUGGCGGAAUUGGCAGACGCGCUAGAUUUAGGUUCUAGUGGGCACCCCCGUGCAGGUUCAAGUCCUGUCACCCGCA
This 82-nucleotide transfer RNA is filed under the name Eubacterium sp. MSJ-33. RNAcentral describes it as "tRNA-Leu". It matches the Rfam family "tRNA". From Rfam's summary of the family: Transfer RNA (tRNA) molecules are approximately 80 nucleotides in length. Their secondary structure includes four short double-helical elements and three loops (D, anti-codon, and T loops). RNAcentral also lists the same sequence under 1 other name. Lineage: Bacteria; Bacillati; Bacillota; Clostridia; Eubacteriales; Eubacteriaceae. The record is from RNAcentral.